GAUGAACGCUGACAGAAUGCUUAACACAUGCAAGUCGAUGGGGAAGUGGUGCUUGCACCAUGGCAACCAUGGCGGACGGGUGAGUAACGCGUAAGGGACUUACCUGCAGGACUGGGAUAACAGGGGGAAACUCCUGACAAGACCGGAUAAUGUCAUGGAGCUGCAUGGCUUUAUGAUGAAAGGAGACGCCUGCGGAGAGCCUUGCGUCCUAUUAGCUAGUUGGUGAGGUAAUGGCUCACCAAGGCGAAGAUAGGUAGCCGGCGUGAGGGGGUGGACGGCCACAAGGGGACUGAGAUACGGCCCUUACUCCUACGGGAGGCAGGAGUGGGGAAUAUUGGACAAUGGGGGCAACCCUGAUCGAGAAAUUCUGUGUGGACGAAGAAGGUUUUCGGAGUGUAAAGUGCUUUCAGCAGAGAAGAAGUAAGUGACGGUACCUGCAGAAGAAGCGACGGCUAAAUACGUG
This 463-nucleotide ribosomal RNA is filed under the name uncultured bacterium. Its description in RNAcentral is "partial 16S ribosomal RNA". It matches the Rfam family "Bacterial small subunit ribosomal RNA", at positions 28 to 507 of the family's 1533-position model. The record is from RNAcentral.